UACAGAGGGGGCAAGCGUUAUUCGGAAUUAUUGGGCGUAAAGGGCGCGUAGGCGGCCUUUCAAGUGACGGGUGAAAUCCCUCGGCUUAACCGAGGAACUGCCUGUCAGACUGGGAGGCUUGAGACCGGGAGAGGUGAGUGGAAUUCCCAGUGUAGCGGUGAAAUGCGCAGAUAUCAGGAGGAACACCGGUGGCGAAGGCGGGUCUCUGGGCCGAUACUGACGCUGAGGAGCGAAAGCGUGGGGAGCGAACAGG
Molecule: ribosomal RNA, 253 nt
Filed under: uncultured bacterium
Lineage: Bacteria
Description: partial 16S ribosomal RNA
Rfam family: Bacterial small subunit ribosomal RNA
Source: RNAcentral